GUGCCCCUGUUUUGACAGCCCAUGUAGUACAGUUGGAAGGACACAGAGAAGGUCAGCCUGGCCCCAGGGCAAGGAUGACAUGCAGAUGUGGGGGAAGCAUCCCAGGGUUUG
RNAcentral lists this small nuclear RNA (111 nucleotides) under Mus pahari (shrew mouse). The record is from RNAcentral. Lineage: Eukaryota; Metazoa; Chordata; Mammalia; Rodentia; Muridae.